GACGAUCAGCCAGACUGGGACUGAGACACGGCCCAGACUCCUACGGGAGGCAGCAGUUCAGAAUCUUGCACAAUGGACGAAAGUCUGAUGCAGCCAUGCCGCGUGUGCGAAGAAGGCCUUCGGGUCGUAAAGCACUGUCAGAGGGAAAGAUCAUGACGGUACCCUCAAAGGAAGCCACGGCUAAUUACGUGCCAGCAGCCGCGGUAAUACGUAAGUGGCGAGCGUUAUCCGGAAUUACUGGGCGUAAAGCGUUCGUAGGCGGUGCAGUAAGUUGGGUUUGAAAGCCCGGGGCUCAACUCCGGACCCGGAUCCAGAACUACUGUACUUGAGCGUAUCAGGGGGCAGUGGAAUUCCCGGUGUAGCGGUAAUAUGCGUAGAUAUCGGGAGGAACACCAGUGGCGAAGGCGACUGCCUGGGGUA
This 420-nucleotide ribosomal RNA is filed under the name uncultured soil bacterium S098. RNAcentral describes it as "bacterial SSU rRNA". It matches the Rfam family "Bacterial small subunit ribosomal RNA", at positions 299 to 736 of the family's 1533-position model. The record is from RNAcentral.